UACGUAGGGUGCAAGCGUUGUCCGGAAUUAUUGGGCGUAAAGAGCUCGUAGGCGGUUUGUCGCGUCUGCUGUGAAAUCCCGAGGCUCAACCUCGGGCUUGCAGUGGGUACGGGCAGACUAGAGUGCGGUAGGGGAGAUUGGAAUUCCUGGUGUAGCGGUGAAAUGCGCAGAUAUCAGGAGGAACACCGGUGGCGAAGGCGGAUCUCUGGGCCGAUACUGACGCUGAGGAGCGAAAGCGUGGGGAGCGAACAGG
RNAcentral lists this ribosomal RNA (253 nucleotides) under uncultured bacterium. RNAcentral describes it as "partial 16S ribosomal RNA". It matches the Rfam family "Bacterial small subunit ribosomal RNA", at positions 524 to 776 of the family's 1533-position model. The record is from RNAcentral.